GAAGCCUGCUUGCGAUUCUCAUUCUCUUUCUGCCUCUCUCUAAAAAGUAAAAAAAAAAAAAAACGAAAAAACUGUUCAGAAAGUAUUGAAAUGAGACAGAAAUAGAGGGAAGUCUUUGAGAGUUAAACAUAUUUUUUUGUUAGGAAGGGAAUAUUAAGGAUUAGGUUUUUGGGAGGCCCACUGUUAACAUUAUAAUUCCCAGAGAAAGGAAAGAGUUGAUGUUCUAGGUGCUUAUGGAAGCAGAGAAGAGGAAGGAAAAUAAUACUUGUCUUGGUGGGCAUGUGUGUCACAUUCUGGCUAAGAUUUAUUGGGAAAGUCCCAUGGUAUUUACUCCUGUCAACCUCAAGUACAGACCAUCAUAAUUCCAUCUUAAUUCUAGUUGGACUACAGACAGGGCAUCUGAAGAAAAGAAGGUGUAAGGGAUCAAGACAUGGUUGUUUCCUUUUCUUCACAUAUUUGAAAAAGGUAUUAGGCUUAUUCUGUAGCUUGAGAACAGAACUUGGGCUACUGGAUAUCAAAAGUCCCCCCCCACCUCUGCUAAAUUAGUGUCCAAACCACUUUUCCUUUGGUGGUAAACCCGACCUAAACUGACAGGAAGCUUUUUUCUCAUUAGUGUGACUUACGGUUUGCCGAGAAACAUUGAAACGUUUGCUUUCUGGAUGCUGCUUCAGAGCCCUCUGGAGAAGUUGUAAGGCUGAGGCUGAAAUUUUGUCAAAUACCAUGGCCUUAUGAAAAGAAUACCUAUUUAGAUCUGCAGAAAUUAACUCAGAAGCUCUAAUUUGGGUGAGUCGGUCAGGUUUGAUUUGCCAUAUGUUUUUAUAGUUCAGGAGAGUUCUCCUUACCUUUCCUGAUAUUAAAAGUCACUUGUUUUUAUCAAUAUAAUCAUAGAAAUAAAGUCUUACCCCAAAGAAGCCCUAAAAGAUAAAAAAAAGAUAUUACCCUCAGUCCAUUAAAUAGGCUUAUAGUUUAUAAUAGCUUAAAAAUUAAUAGGAGCUUACCCCAAGUUGGUUCAAAAUAAAAGUGAUUAACUGUGAAAGAAGAAAAAUAGAUCAAUGCUAGUGUUAUGAAUGGGCUUACUUUUUAACUUAUUUGUAACUUAGCACACAUAUAAGCUAGAAGAUUUUUCUAUAUGAAAAUCUUUUUUUCUGAAAAAUUAAUUCCAUUUUAUAGUUUUAUUGAUGUAAGAUUUUAAAAUGGAUAUGCAAUAUCUAGAUUUAAGUUCCCUUAAUUCACAGAAAUAUUUUAUUGUAAUUGUAUUUACUGUUUCGGAAGGAUAAGAACUUGAUGUGAACGGUUAAGAAACUCACUGUUUACAUAUCCGUGCAAGUGCUAGGUUUCUUGAAGUAUGAAAAUUCCCUAUGUGAAUGAUACUUCACCCAAAAUUUUAGGAUGGCUAUAAACACUUUGCUACAAGAGUUUGCUUAUACAAGCAGUUUUGCUGGAAAAAGUAUUGCUUUGUAGCUUCCACGGGUCCUUCUGUCAGACUGGCAGCUUGGUCAAGGAACUGACCAGUGAAAGAAAGUGACUCCCUCCAUACUUGUAGAGCUGUCCAUCCCAGCGUGUGUGCAAGAAUAUAUAAGCUAAACACGUCCCGAUGUUCGCUAAGGCGAGGGCAAUACCCGAGGCAGCGUUUCCCUAGGGUCCCUCUUCCUCCCUGCUGACUUAACUAGGACUCCUGGUAGAAAAAAAUUAUCAUGGCUGCGAAGAUAGGGCAGUUCUAGAAGUUAUUCUGUCAGAAGUCUUUCCAGGAUAAGUUGUGGCCAACAGCACUUUAAAAAAAAGUUCCGAAAAAGAAAGUAUAAAUAGAUAUUAAGUGUUCAGAUCUGGUAAUGUGAAUGAGUCCUGUAUCUGAGGAGUCCUGUUUUGCACUGGAAGAGACCUGGGAGGUAAAAUGAUACCUUUACCCAGGGUUGUGCAGCUAAUUUAAUUGUAAAAGAGAUUAAAUCUAGAGAGAAAUUAGAAUCCAAGAUUUGAAUCUAGGCUUUCCAACCACAGGCCAGUGUUCUUUCUGCAUGUUUUGAUGUAAAGAUCAACUUGCCAAUUUGUAAUCAUUAAUGAUUUUUUUUGUUAAUCAUUAAUGAUUAAUCAUUGCAGGCAGUUUCCUAAAACAUUUUUGGUUAGAAAUAUGCUGGAACUUUUAUUGUCUGCCAUUUGGAAAUGGGCUAUAAUGUUGCUGACAGAGAGGAUUAUAGGAAGAGCACCAGCACUUGAACUCUAGAGACUUAGGUUCUUAUUGAUUAGACUCCGAAGUUGUUUGAGCUCAACUUUUCUGUGACACUUAAAUAUUCCUCAAGAUGGUUGGCUUUAAAUAGCCUCAGAUCCCAAAAAAUUUUAUCUCUGGCACACAAAUGAUUUAGGCCUAAGUUUCUGACAUUUUUACAAAAUACUGCAUGUCCCUGAUUCUAAGAUACCACCAAUGGUAAAAUGUACCAUUUUAAAUGAUAGUCUUUAAAAAAAAAAAAGAGAGAUCUUAGAAUAAAUGUAUC
Long non-coding RNA from Suricata suricatta (meerkat), 2486 nucleotides. RefSeq lists it as uncharacterized. Lineage: Eukaryota; Metazoa; Chordata; Mammalia; Carnivora; Herpestidae. The record is from RefSeq and is a predicted model, not a curated record. The transcript has 2 exons.